This 747-nucleotide ribosomal RNA is filed under the name Melosira varians. Its description in RNAcentral is "partial large subunit ribosomal RNA". Lineage: Eukaryota; Bacillariophyta; Melosirophyceae; Melosirales; Melosiraceae. The record is from RNAcentral.
CUAUACCCAAUUCGACGAUCAGAUUUGCACGUUAAAUCGCUGCGAACCUCCACCAGAGUUUCCCCUGGCUUCGCCCUACUCAGGCAUAGUUCACCAUCUUUCGGGUCCCAACAUGUAUGCUCACACUCAAACCUUUCUCCCGAAGGAUCAUGGUCGGUGGAUAGUGCACUACCUCAGUGAAUAAAUCCACCUUUACUUUAAUUCCGCGUGGGAGUUUUACACCCGAGCACUCGCACACAUGUUAGACUCCUUGGUCCAUGUUUCAAGACGGGUUGAUAAGAAGCAUUUCGUCAGAGUCUCUCAAUCACAUGACAGCAAAACUAACUCAAAAUCUUGAUUUAGAAGCUUUUCCCACAUAAUUAAGAAAGCCUGACUUGCAAGCAGGUCAACAAGUACUACCUAGCCGACACUGCUUCCCAUCGGUUCCAUUUCAGCAAUUUCAGGUACUAUUUAACUCUCUUUUCAAAGUUCUUUGCAUCUUUCCCUCACGGUACUUGUUCGCUAUCGGUCUCCCAUUUAUAUUUAGCUUUAGAUGGAAUUUACCACCCACUAAGAGCUGCAAUCCCAAACAACUCGACUCUUAGAAAGCCAGUUGUACACGACUUCGUUUCAGACAUGAACGGGGCUGUCACCCUCCACGGCGCUCUGUUCCAAAGACGUUAUCGGAAAACAUGCUGAACCGACCUCUCCAGAAUACAACGCCGAAGCUUUUCAGUCUGAGCUUGUCCCGCUUCACUCGCCGUUACU